RNAcentral lists this ribosomal RNA (279 nucleotides) under uncultured Scutellospora. Its description in RNAcentral is "partial 18S ribosomal RNA". It matches the Rfam family "Eukaryotic small subunit ribosomal RNA", at positions 548 to 834 of the family's 1831-position model. Lineage: Eukaryota; Fungi; Glomeromycota; Glomeromycetes; Diversisporales; Gigasporaceae. The record is from RNAcentral.
UUGGAGGGCAAGUCUGGUGCCAGCAGCCGCGGUAAUUCCAGCUCCAAUAGCGUAUAUUAAAGUUGUUGCAGUUAGAAAGCUCGUAGUUGAAUUUCGGGGUUCUACCGUUGGUCGGGCUUUGUCUGUACUGGCGUGUAGAAUUUCUACCUUCUGGGGAACCAUUAUGUUAUUAAUUUAGCGUGGUGGGAAACCAGGACCUUUACCUUGAAAAAAUUAGAGUGUUCAAAGCAGGCUUAUGUCUGAAUACAUUGGCAUGGAAUAAUAGAAUAGGACGGUGGU